Molecule: ribosomal RNA, 301 nt
Filed under: uncultured bacterium
Lineage: Bacteria
Description: partial 16S ribosomal RNA
Rfam family: Bacterial small subunit ribosomal RNA
Source: RNAcentral
CAGCAGCCGCGGGAAUACGGAGGGGGCUAGCGUUGUUCGGAAUUACUGGGCGUAAAGCGCACGUAGGCGGCUUGGUAAGUUAGAGGUGAAAGCCCGGAGCUCAACUCCGGAAUUGCCUUUAAGACUGCCGAGCUAGCAGGUGAGAGAGGUAAGUGGAAUUCCGAGUGUAGAGGUGAAAUUCGUAGAUAUUCGGAAGAACACCAGUGGCGAAGGCGGCUUACUGGCUCAUACUGGACGCUGAGGUGCGAAAGCGUGGGGAGCAAACAGGAUUAGAUACUCCUGUAGUCCCUGUCUCUUAUAU